AUGACGAUGACGAUGAUGAUGAUGAUGAGAAUGAAGUGGAGGGGAUUGUUACAGUUGAAAAUAGUGAUCAUCAGAAUAAUAAUAGUGAUAAAGUUAAUAGUAAUAGUAGUGGUAAAGUAGUUGGCAGUGAUAAAACGAGAAGUGUUUCUACAUUUGGUGUGAAGGAAGGGAAUGUUGGGCCGUCGGGAAAUGAAGGUGGUGUCGACGUGAGAAAUGCUGUGAUAAUUGCUAGUGUUGAUGGGGAUAUGUAUUAUAAUCAGUAUUUGCAGGGACCGGAAGGGUCAAAUGCAGCACAGAAGGAAAUGGGGUUUGAGAAUGGGUGUGGAUUUAGUGGGAGAAAGGAAGCUCAUUAUUCAAAUGAAUCAGGAGAGUCAUUGAGAACUAUUCUUUCCGAUCCUAUUACGGGAGAGCUUAUGGAUGAUGCAAUGAUAUUGCCUUGUGGGCAUUCCUUUGGUAGCGGUGGGGUUCAGCAUGUAAUUAGAAUGAAAGUUUGCUAUAUCUGUUCACAAGCGGUGUCCGAAGACUCACUGUCACCUAAUUUAUCUCUUCGAUCUGCAAUUCAAGCAUUCCGCCGAGAAGAGGAGUCACAUCUUAAUCGCUCUUUAAAAAGAAGAAAGGAGAGAUAUGAUCAGGAUAGAGGGACCUUUGGUGAUUCAGCACUUCCUGAUCAUCUAAGAGGAAGAGGAGUUCAGUUUCCAUUCGCUGUGACAGACAGGGUUAUAAUAAAGGGCAACAAAAG
Molecule: unclassified non-coding RNA, 739 nt
Filed under: Hevea brasiliensis (rubber tree)
Lineage: Eukaryota; Viridiplantae; Streptophyta; Magnoliopsida; Malpighiales; Euphorbiaceae
Source: RNAcentral